GUGCCCGUAACUCAGUGGUAGAGUGUGAGAUUGCAAUAGACCUGUAAUGGAUCCGAUACAAUCUUGAAGCCGCGUGUUCGAACCACGCCGGGCACU
This is a non-coding RNA of Paramarasmius palmivorus, 96 nucleotides long. NCBI's taxonomy places the organism in Eukaryota, Fungi, Basidiomycota, Agaricomycetes, Agaricales, Marasmiaceae. The record is from the annotation of a GenBank genome assembly.